UGGGGAGUAUUGGACAAUGGGGGCAACCCUGAUCCAGCAAUGCCGCGUGGGUGAUGAGGGCCUUCGGGUUGUAAAGCCCUUUCGGCGGGGACGAUGAUGACGGUACCCGCAGAAGAAGCCCCGGCUAACUCCGUGCCAGCAGCCGCGGUAAUACGGAGGGGGCUAGCGUUGUUCGGAAUUACUGGGCGUAAAGCGCACGUAGGCGGCUUUGUAAGUUAGAGGUGAAAGCCCAGGGCUCAACCCUGGAAUUGCCUUUAAGACUGCAUCGCUUGAACAUCGGAGAGGUAAGUGGAAUUCCGAGUGUAGAGGUGAAAUUCGUAGAUAUUCGGAAGAACACCAGUGGCGAAGGCGACUUACUGGACGAUUGUUGACGCUGAGGUGCGAAAGCGUGGGGAGCAAA
This 400-nucleotide ribosomal RNA is filed under the name uncultured bacterium. RNAcentral describes it as "bacterial SSU rRNA". It matches the Rfam family "Bacterial small subunit ribosomal RNA", at positions 355 to 772 of the family's 1533-position model. The record is from RNAcentral.